Molecule: transfer RNA, 72 nt
Organism: Alternaria alternata
Lineage: Eukaryota; Fungi; Ascomycota; Dothideomycetes; Pleosporales; Pleosporaceae
Rfam family: tRNA
About the family: Transfer RNA (tRNA) molecules are approximately 80 nucleotides in length.
Source: Rfam
GGCCGGUUGGCGCAAUGGUAGCGCGCAGCCCUCCUAAGGCUGAGGCUGUGGGUUCGAGUCCCACAUCGGUCG